AACGAACGCUGGCGGCAGGCUUAACACAUGCAAGUCGAACGCCCCGCAAGGGGAGUGGCAGACGGGUGAGUAACGCGUGGGAACAUACCCUUUCCUGCGGAAUAGCUCCGGGAAACUGGAAUUAAUACCGCAUACGCCCUACGGGGGAAAGAUUUAUCGGGGAAGGAUUGGCCCGCGUUGGAUCAGCUAGUUGGUGGGGUAAAGGCCUACCAAGGCGACGAUCCAUAGCUGGUCUGAGAGGAUGAUCAGUCACAUUGGGACUGAGACACGGCCCAAACUCCUGCGGGAGGCAGCAGUGGGGAAUAUUGGACAAUGGGCGCAAGCCUGAUCCAGCCAUGCCGCGUGAGUGAUGAAGGCCUUAGGGUUGUAAAGCUCUUUCACCGGAGAAGAUAAUGACGGUAUCCGGAGAAGAAGCCCCGGCUAACUUCGUGCCAGCCGCCGCCGUAA
Molecule: ribosomal RNA, 447 nt
Filed under: uncultured bacterium
Lineage: Bacteria
Description: partial 16S ribosomal RNA
Rfam family: Bacterial small subunit ribosomal RNA
Source: RNAcentral